This 471-nucleotide ribosomal RNA is filed under the name uncultured bacterium. RNAcentral's name for it is "bacterial SSU rRNA". It matches the Rfam family "Bacterial small subunit ribosomal RNA", at positions 9 to 524 of the family's 1533-position model. The record is from RNAcentral.
GAGUUUGAUCCUGGCUCAGAGCGAACGCUGGCGGCAGGCUUAACACAUGCAAGUCGAACGGGCACCCUCGGGUGUCAGUGGCAGACGGGUGAGUAACACGUGGGAACGUGCCCUUCGGUUCGGAAUAACUCAGGGAAACUUGAGCUAAUACCGGAUACGCCCUUCUGGGGAAAGGUUUACUGCCGAAGGAUCGGCCCGCGUCUGAUUAGCUUGUUGGUGGGGUAACGGCCUACCAAGGCGACGAUCAGUAGCUGGUCUGAGAGGAUGAUCAGCCACACUGGGACUGAGACACGGCCCAGACUCCUACGGGAGGCAGCAGUGGGGAAUAUUGGACAAUGGGCGCAAGCCUGAUCCAGCCAUGCCGCGUGAGUGAUGAAGGCCUUAGGGUUGUAAAGCUCUUUUGUCCGGGACGAUAAUGACGGUACCGGAAGAAUAAGCCCCGGCUAACUUCGUGCCAGCAGCCGCGGUAAG